RNA transcript from Quercus robur (English oak), 1826 nucleotides. It is a transcript of the gene named monothiol glutaredoxin-S7, chloroplastic, with no coding region annotated. The transcript is spliced from 4 exons. Lineage: Eukaryota; Viridiplantae; Streptophyta; Magnoliopsida; Fagales; Fagaceae. The record is from RefSeq and is a predicted model, not a curated record.
UAAACAUUACCACCCCCACGUGUAGAACAAACAAAACCGCAAGCAUUUUGUGUCUCUCUUUCUCUCUCUAGAGUUCGGAGAAGUGGAGGAGGAAGGAAUGAUGUCUUGCGUAAUUGGCUUUGAGACGACAGCAGCAAUAGCAUCAUCUUUCCCCGUUAGUUCAGUGACCAAAACUACAUCCACCAAUACCCAUUCUACACUCCUCCACUGCCCCACCCGCCCUCUUACAUUUACUUCUUCUUCUUCUUCUUUUUCUUCCAGAACCAUCCUUAAUGGCUCAAGCUCUACAAGGCUUGCCUCCAUUCGUUGCUUCUCAGUCUUAACUCCUGAGCUGAAGAAUACAUUGGAUAAAGUUGUUACUUCGCACAAAGUGGUUCUUUUUAUGAAAGGAACUAAGGAUUUUCCACAAUGUGGAUUUUCGAACACUGUUGUGCAGAUAUUGAGGUCUUUUAACGUACCUUUUGAAACAAUCAACAUUCUAGAAAAUGAAACACUACGUCAAGGAUUAAAACAGUAUUCCAACUGGCCUACCUUUCCUCAACUUUACAUUGAAGGAGAGUUUUUUGGUGGCUGUGACAUCACUGUUGGAUCUCAAGACGGGGAAGAUUAUGGGUGGAGGGCAUGAAGCCGGUGGACUUUAUUACUUGGAUCGAUGUGGUUCUUCCCAUUUAGUGGCUUCUCAUUUGUCUAUCUCGCCUCUUCAACAUCAUUGUCGCCUUGGUCAUCCAUCUCUCAAGAAUUUGAAGUCAUUAGUUCCGUCGUGUCGUCAAAUUGAGUCUUUACAAUGUGAAGCAUGUCAGUUGGGUAAACACCAUUGGGUUACUUUUGCCUCUAGGCGUGAGAGUCGUGUUAGUAGUCCUUUUCAUUUAGUUCAUUAUGAUAUUUGGGGUCCAAUAAACACUCCCUCAUUGUUGGGAUUUAGAUAUUUUGUCAUUUUUGUUCAUUAAACUUACAUCUUUGUCUCAAUUUUUUGAUGAUCAUGGUGUAAUUCACCAAUCUUCAUGCCCCCAUAUUCCACAACAAAAUGGUGUUGCUGAACGCAAAAUGCGUCAUUUGUUAGAGGUCACUCGUGCCUUAAAGUUUCAUAUGCGUGUUCCCAAAUCAUAUUGGAGUGAUUUGUUCUCACUGCCUAUCACCUAAUUAAUUGUAUGCCUUCCACUGUUCUAGGUGGUUAGAUCCCUUAUACUGUGCUCUCUCUUGAUGCACCUUUGUUUCAUCUACCUCCUAAUAUCUUUGGUUGUGUGUGCUAUGUUCAUAUCUUAGGUUCAGGGAGUGACAAACUUGAUCCUAGAUCUAUUAAAUGUGUUUUUCUUAGGUAUUCUCAUACUCAGAAAGGAUACUGAUGUUACUCACCUACUCUUCGGCGUCGUUUCAUUAGUGCUGAUAUCACAUUUGAUGAAUCUCAGUCCUAUUUCUUUCCUUCGGUUGCUAGUGGCAGUUCUCCUCCACCUGUGUCUCCUAUUGAAUCUCCUCAGAAUACACUCUAGGUAUAUUGUCGUCUGCAGAAACCUCCAACAGAGACUUCUACCCCGCCUAGUGAUCCGACUCUUGAUCCUGCCUCUUUUCCAAUUGCUUUGCGCAAAGAGGCAUACAAGAAUGGUCAAUUGCAGGAAAUACUGGAGAAGGCAAUGUGUUCUUGAAGCUUUUCAGUUGGGCAAUGGUAUAAUAAUUGCACUCUUGACUUGCCUGGUGAUUGAGAAGUGUAUUGUAUAAUUCAUCAUUCCUUAAAAUUUGUUUGAUUAUGGCCCAAAACAUAUACCUUGUAUUUGACUACAAAAUAGAAAUCUCUAUUUGGCAAUGACAGCUUACUAUUUGUUGCAUGUUAA